This is a long non-coding RNA of Amphibalanus amphitrite, 240 nucleotides long. RefSeq lists it as uncharacterized. NCBI's taxonomy places the organism in Eukaryota, Metazoa, Arthropoda, Thecostraca, Balanomorpha, Balanidae. The record is from RefSeq and is a predicted model, not a curated record. The transcript is spliced from 3 exons.
AUCAGAAAGACGGCCUUCAGGAAUUUGGGUCACAACUCGGUCACGAUACGUAAAUGAUUCUUUUGUAAUGCUGACCGCUCGUCCAAGUUCCAACUUUUUUGUUACAAAAAACCAAUACCUACUUCUAUUUCGUCAUGACAGAAGCUCGACUCCAUGGUGUUUCUGAGACUGAUGUCGACAUUUCAAUCGGUUCCUAUUCUGAUGUCGGCCCUGUCAUCUCACGGCAUAUUCCUGCACCGA